AGGUAUCUAGAGCUGCCACCUAUGCCACACCCAACAUCAACUAUACUCUUGGGCCAUUUACUACGCUCCUCUGACCAUUCACAAACAAAAACAAAAACAGAUGAGAAAGUGUAACCAUUCUGUGAGCAUGUAACAAAGACAGUGGAAGCUACUCGGCUAGCAUGAGUGGGAUUGUAGAAAAUGAAAAUACCAGAAACAGAGGCAAAGCGAAGAGACUCUUGGAUCAUUCGGAUCUGAGCAGCACGAUGAUCCGAAAGCGAAACAGUGGAAUCCGAGUCAUAAAAGCCAUGGUGCAUGUGGUCGCCCCAAAUGUUCUCCCA
Molecule: long non-coding RNA, 320 nt
Organism: Glycine soja
Lineage: Eukaryota; Viridiplantae; Streptophyta; Magnoliopsida; Fabales; Fabaceae
Exons: 2
Source: RefSeq, a predicted model, not a curated record